Molecule: ribosomal RNA, 180 nt
Filed under: uncultured bacterium
Lineage: Bacteria
Description: partial 16S ribosomal RNA
Rfam family: Bacterial small subunit ribosomal RNA
Source: RNAcentral
UAAUACGUAGGGGGCUAGCGUUGUCCGGAAUCAUUGGGCGUAAAGCGCGUGUAGGCGGUCCGGUAAGUCCGCUGUGAAAGUCGGGGGCUCAACCCUCGAAUGCCGGUGGAUACUGUCGGGCUAGAGUGCGGAAGAGGCGAGUGGAAUUCCUGGUGUAGCGGUGAAAUGCGCAGAUAUCAG